AGCGAACGCUGGCGGCAGGCUUAACACAUGCAAGUCGAACGGGCGUAGCAAUACGUCAGUGGCAGACGGGUGAGUAACGCGUGGGAACGUACCUUUUGGUUCGGAACAACCCAGGGAAACUUGGGCUAAUACCGGAUAAGCCCUUACGGGGAAAGAUUUAUCGCCGAAAGAUCGGCCCGCGUCUGAUUAGCUAGUUGGUGUGGUAACGGCGCACCGAGGCGACGAUCAGUAGCUGGUCUGAGAGGAUGAUCAGCCACAUUGGGACUGAGACACGGCCCAAACUCCUACGGGAGGCAGCAGUGGGGAAUAUUGGACAAUGGGCGCAAGCCUGAUCCAGCCAUGCCGCGUGAGUGAUGAAGGCCCUAGGGUUGUAAAGCUCUUUUGUGCGGGAAGAUAAUGACGGUACCGCAAGAAUAAG
Molecule: ribosomal RNA, 418 nt
Filed under: uncultured bacterium
Lineage: Bacteria
Description: bacterial SSU rRNA
Rfam family: Bacterial small subunit ribosomal RNA
Source: RNAcentral